This 460-nucleotide ribosomal RNA is filed under the name uncultured bacterium. RNAcentral's name for it is "partial 16S ribosomal RNA". It matches the Rfam family "Bacterial small subunit ribosomal RNA", at positions 338 to 795 of the family's 1533-position model. The record is from RNAcentral.
CCUACGGGUGACAGCAGUGAGGAAUAUUGGUCAAUGGGCGCAAGCCUGAACCAGCCAAGUCGCGUGAGGGAUGACGGUCCUAUGGAUUGUAAACCUCUUUUGUCGGGGAGCAAGGCCCGCCACGUGUGGCGUGAAGGAGAGUACCCGCAGAAAAAGCAUCGGCUAACUCCGUGCCAGCAGCCGCGGUAAUACGGAGGAUGCGAGCGUUAUCCGGAUUUAUUGGGUUUAAAGGGUGCGUAGGCGGAAGGUUAAGUCAGCGGUCAAAUGUCGGUGCUCAACACCGGCCUGCCGUUGAAACUGGUCGUCUUGAGUGAGCGAGAAGUAUGCGGAAUGCGUGGUGUAGCGGUGAAAUGCAUAGAUAUCACGCAGAACUCCGAUUGCGAAGGCAGCAUACCGGAGCUCAACUGACGCUGAGGCACGAAAGCGUGGGGAUCGAACAGGAUUAGAUACCCCUGUAGUC